CGCUUGGUAAUUUUAUAUCAAGUAGAUUCUGCCCACUGAACCCUUGAAUGGCCGCAGUACCCUGACUGUGCUAAGGUAGCAUAAUAACUUGUCUCUUAAUUGGAGGCUAGAAUGAAUGAACUGACGAGGAGGUUGCUGUCUCAGGGGAAGCCAAGGAAAUUUAUAUUCAGGUAAAAAAUCCUGAAAAUUGUAGAGGGACGAUAAGACCCUAAAAGCUUUACCCUUAACUCCUAAUAUUUUUCAACCUGAUUAAGACUGACGGGUUUUCACUGGGGCGGUGGUCCUACCUAACUAGAACAAAUUAAACACCUUGAGUGAAACUUUCCACCUUGAUUUGAAUCAAUAAGAUAAGUUACUUUAGGGAUAACAGCGUAAUUCUCUGAAAGAGCCCUUAUCGACCAGAGAGAUUACGACCUCGAUGUUGAAUUGAAAACUUGACUAAAGCAGCAUUUAGUAUUAAGGAGACUGUUCGUCUCUCAAACUUUC
This 486-nucleotide ribosomal RNA is filed under the name Ligia sp. Southern California B. RNAcentral describes it as "partial 16S ribosomal RNA". It matches the Rfam family "Bacterial large subunit ribosomal RNA", at positions 1883 to 2597 of the family's 2925-position model. Lineage: Eukaryota; Metazoa; Arthropoda; Malacostraca; Isopoda; Ligiidae. The record is from RNAcentral.